GUGRGUAACRCGUGGGCAAUCUGCCCUUCACYCGGRACAARNNCUGGAAACGGGGUCUAAUACCGGAUAACACUCCUACAGGCAUCUGUGGGGGUUAAAAGCUCCGGCGGUGAAGGAUGAGCCCGCGGCCUAUCANCUUGUUGGUGAGGUAGUGGCUCACCAAGGCGACGACGGGUAGCCGGCCUGAGAGGGCGACCGGCCACACUGGGACUGAGACACGGCCCAGACUCCUACGGGAGGCAGCAGUGGGGAAUAUUGCACAAUGGGCGAAAGCCUGAUGCAGCGACGCCGCGUGAGGGAUGACGGCCUUCGGGUUGUAAACCUCUUUCAGCAGGGAAGAAGCGAAAGUGACGGUNYYUGCAGAAGAAGCGCCGGCUAACUACGUGCCAGCAGCCGCGGNAAUACGUAGGGCGCARGCGUUGUCCGGAAUUAUUGGGCGUAAAGAGCUCGUAGGCGGUCUGUCGCGUCGGAUGUGAAAGCCCGGGGCUUAACCCCGGGUCUGCAUUCGAUACGGGCAGACUAGAGUGUGGUAGGGGAGAUCGGAAUUCCUGGUGUAGCGGUGAAAUGCGCAGAUAUCAGGAGGAACACCGGUGGCGAAGGCGGAUCUCUGGGCCAUUACUGACGCUGAGGAGCGAAAGCGUGGGGAGCGAACAGGAUUAGAUACCCUGGUAGUCCACGCCGUAAACGGUGGGAACUAGGUGUUGGCGACAUUCCACGUCGUCGGUGCCGCAGCUAACGCAUUAAGUUCCCCGCCUGGGGAGUACGGCCGCAAGGCUAAAACUCAAAGGAAUUGACGGGGGCCCGCACAAGCAGCGGAGCAUGUGGCUUAAUUCGACGCAACGCGAAGAACCUUACCAAGGCUUGACAUACACCGGAAAGCAUCAGAGAUGGUGCCCCCCUUGUGGUCGGUGUACAGGUGGUGCAUGGCUGUCGUCAGNCUCGUGUCGUGAGAUGUUGGGUUAAGUCCCGCAACGAGCGCAACCCUUGUUCUGUGUUGCCAGCAUGCCCUUCGGGGUGAUGGGGACUCACAGGAGACUGCCGGGGUCAACUCGGAGGAAGGUGGGGACGACGUCAAGUCAUCAUGCCCCUUAUGUCUUGGGCUGCACACGUGCUACAAUGGCAGGUACAAUGAGCUGCGAAGCCGCGAGGCGGAGCGAAUCUCAAAAAGCCUGUCUCAGUUCGGAUUGGGGUCUGCAACUCGACCCCAUGAAGUCGGAGUUGCUAGUAAUCGCAGAUCAGCAUUGCUGCGGUGAAUACGUUNNUCGGGCCUUGUACACACCGCCCGUCACGUCACGAANYNCC
RNAcentral lists this ribosomal RNA (1302 nucleotides) under Streptomyces sp. IB 2014 I 75-4HS. RNAcentral's name for it is "bacterial SSU rRNA". It matches the Rfam family "Bacterial small subunit ribosomal RNA", at positions 106 to 1413 of the family's 1533-position model. Lineage: Bacteria; Bacillati; Actinomycetota; Actinomycetes; Kitasatosporales; Streptomycetaceae. The record is from RNAcentral.